CUCUUUAUAAAUAUUACCUGCUGCAACAUAAACUGAGGUGGUAUUGUAAAAACCCAUGCCCCUAAGCAUCAUUCCCACCUCUAGUGGAGUUAAAGGGCAUUUUCCANNNUUUUGCCCCUGGCGUUAUUCCCCUACCUCUUCCCCUGAAUUUUCCUCUCCAGCCUCUUUCUCGAGCAAUAUCCAUUUCAUGUUUCUCUUCCUCCCCGCCAUCAUACUCACAGCAUGAAAAUGCAACCAUAUCCAUUUCAAACCGAAGAUGCACAGAAACAUAUUUGCCCCCACUCUGUGAGCUAUUCUUAACCAUUCGAUCAACCAUCUUCUCUGCAAGAGUUCUUAUAGGUUCUGAAAACCUCAGUGCUUCAAAAUUGGCUAAGCAUCUAAGCCUCUGGAUAUCUGGAGGAACUGCUUGAGCCAGUCUAUUGGAGAAAGGGGCAAUGCGAACUGCCCGCAUCUCCAUCAGCUUUGGAAGCA
Molecule: unclassified non-coding RNA, 471 nt
Filed under: Hevea brasiliensis (rubber tree)
Lineage: Eukaryota; Viridiplantae; Streptophyta; Magnoliopsida; Malpighiales; Euphorbiaceae
Source: RNAcentral